UCUAAUAUGGCAGAAAAGUGUAAUGAAUUUAAGUUUCAUAGAUAAAAUUUAAUAAUUUUUAUUAGAA
RNAcentral lists this transfer RNA (67 nucleotides) under Oberthuerella sharkeyi. Its description in RNAcentral is "tRNA-Leu". The record is from RNAcentral. Lineage: Eukaryota; Metazoa; Arthropoda; Insecta; Hymenoptera; Liopteridae.